CGACUCUGACCGCUGCGCUUCCCCGAGGCCCGCUGCUUCCAGAAGAGGGCGCGCAGAACAUGCUCAAGAGACAGAGCCUCAGUUUAUAAAGCUGGCGGCCAUAAAAGCUUGGCAGAUAUCGUCUUUAGCUUCAGGCUUCUACACUAUUUUUUCUUUCAAAACUACCAGGUUGCUUUAGAUCCUGAAGCCACUGCUGUUACCUUACCUUCGUGGUCUUGGCUCAGGAGCUCGGUGUCUGGUUGGGAGGCUGACAGUAUCAUCAGUGCUUCAGUGAAUGAACAACCAUAUGUGGAGGACAGAUAAACCACUUCUUGGCAGAUUUUAUCAUAUCUUAGGCUCUGUACCCACAGAAGAACGGUGACAGCGUGUCAUGUGAGGCAGGAAUGCCAGGCGUGUGGAAUUCUGAUCAGAACGUCCUCGCCUCCUCUUUCAAACUCCACUGUGGAGAGG
This 450-nucleotide long non-coding RNA is filed under the name Fukomys damarensis (Damara mole-rat). RNAcentral describes it as "lncRNA (ENSFDAG00000030445.1)". Lineage: Eukaryota; Metazoa; Chordata; Mammalia; Rodentia; Bathyergidae. The record is from RNAcentral.